This is a long non-coding RNA of Macrobrachium nipponense, 116 nucleotides long. RefSeq lists it as uncharacterized. Lineage: Eukaryota; Metazoa; Arthropoda; Malacostraca; Decapoda; Palaemonidae. The record is from RefSeq and is a predicted model, not a curated record. The transcript has 2 exons.
GUCCAGAGUGUACUGGCAGAGGUGUAUGGCCAGCAUUGCACCGGUUAAGCAUGUGUGGGAGUUUGAUAUGGAGCGCCAAGGUGCUGAAUGUUACUCAAUAAAGUAUUCAUGUGGCA